Molecule: ribosomal RNA, 513 nt
Filed under: uncultured bacterium
Lineage: Bacteria
Description: bacterial SSU rRNA
Rfam family: Bacterial small subunit ribosomal RNA
Source: RNAcentral
ACGCUGGCGGCGUGCCUAAUACAUGCAAGUCGAACGGCUUUUCUAUGGAAGCUUGCUUCCACUGAGAAGAUAGUGGCGAACGGGUGAGUAACACGUGGGUAACCUGCCCAUAAGAGGGGGAUAACAUCCGGAAACGGGUGCUAAUACCGCAUAGUUUUCUUGAUCGCAUGAUUGAGAAAGGAAAGACGGCCUUUGUGCUGUCGCUUAUGGAUGGACCCGCGGCGUAUUAGUUAGUUGGUGAAGUAACGGCUCACCAAGACGAUGAUACGUAGCCGACCUGAGAGGGUGAUCGGCCACAUUGGGACUGAGACACGGCCCAAACUCCUACGGGAGGCAGCAGUAGGGAAUCUUCCGCAAUGGACGAAAGUCUGACGGAGCAACGCCGCGUGAGUGAAGAAGGUUUUUCCGGAUCGUAAAACUCUGUUGCCAGAGAAGAACAAGUUGGAGAGUAACUGCUCCAGCCUUGACGGUAUCUGACCAGAAAGCCACGGCUAACUACGUGCCAGCAGCAGC